Molecule: ribosomal RNA, 253 nt
Filed under: uncultured bacterium
Lineage: Bacteria
Description: partial 16S ribosomal RNA
Rfam family: Bacterial small subunit ribosomal RNA
Source: RNAcentral
UACGUAGGAGGCGAGCGUUGUCCGGAAUCACUGGGCGUAAAGCGCGUGUAGGCGGUACGGCAAGUCUGCUGUGAAAUCUCGUGGCUCAACUGCGAGGGGUCAGUGGAAACUGCCGCGCUAGAGGACGGUAGAGGGGGGUGGAAUUCCCGGUGUAGUGGUGAAAUGCGUAGAGAUCGGGAGGAACACCAGCGGCGAAGGCGGCCCCCUGGGCCGCUCCUGACGCUGAGACGCGAAGGCCAGGGUAGCGAACGGG